ACAGCUAAUACAUGAGCAAAAUCUCAACUUUAUUAGAAGAGACGCAUUUAUUAGAUAAAAAGCCAGUUCAUGCUUUUACAGUAUGAAAAUUGGUGAUUUAUAAUAACUUAGCAAAUCGCAAAGUGAAAACAGGCGAUAAAUCAUUCAAGUUUCUGACCUAUCAGCUUUCGACGGUAUGGUAUUGGCUUACCGUGGCAGUGACGGUUAACGGGGGAUUAGGGUUCGAUUCCGGAGAGGGAGCCUGAGAAACGGCUACCACAUCUAAGGAAGGCAGCAGGCGCGCAAAUUACCCAAUUCUAACAGUUUGAGAGAGGUAGUAACAAGAAAUAACAAUACAAGGCAGUUAAAAUGCUUUGUAAUUGGAAUGAUAGAAAUUUAAACCCUUUUUAAAGUAUCAAUUGGAGGGCAAGUCUGGUGCCAGCAGCCGCGGUAAUUCCAGCUCCAAUAGCGUAUAUUAAAAUUGUUGCAGUUAAAAAGCUCGUAGUUGAAGUUCUGCUGAAAGU
RNAcentral lists this ribosomal RNA (503 nucleotides) under Hepatozoon canis. Its description in RNAcentral is "SSU rRNA". It matches the Rfam family "Eukaryotic small subunit ribosomal RNA", at positions 160 to 652 of the family's 1831-position model. The record is from RNAcentral. Lineage: Eukaryota; Apicomplexa; Hepatozoidae.